GAUGAACGCUAGCGGCAGGCCUAAUACAUGCAGGUCGAGGGGUAUGGGUUGCUUGCAACCCAGAGACCGGCGCACGGGUGCGUAACGCGUAUGCAAUCUACCUUAAUCAGGGGGAUAGCCCGGAGAAAUCCGGAUUAACACCGCAUAACAUUGAGUUGUGGCAUCACAGUUCAAUCAAAUAUUUAUAGGAUUAAGAUGAGCAUGCGUGACAUUAGUUAGUUGGUGAGGUAACGGCUCACCAAGACCACGAUGUCUAGGGGAUCUGAGAGGAUGACCCCCCACACUGGUACUGAGACACGGACCAGACUCCUACGGGAGGCAGCAGUAAGGAAUAUUGGUCAAUGGGCGCAAGCCUGAACCAGCCAUGCCGCGUGCAGGAAGACGGCCCUAUGGGUUGUAAACUGCUUUUGUACCGGAAUAAACCUUCUCUUGCGAGAGAAGCUGAACGUACGGUAAGAAUAAGGAUCGGCUAACUCCGUG
This 480-nucleotide ribosomal RNA is filed under the name uncultured bacterium. RNAcentral describes it as "partial 16S ribosomal RNA". It matches the Rfam family "Bacterial small subunit ribosomal RNA", at positions 28 to 507 of the family's 1533-position model. The record is from RNAcentral.